GACAGAGGGUGCAAACGUUGUUCGGAAUUACUGGGCGUAAAGCGCGUGUAGGCUGUUUCGAAAGUCAGGUGUGAAAGCCCUGGGCUCAACCCAGGAAGUGCACUUGAAACUUCGAGACUCGAGUCCUGGAGAGGGUGGCGGAAUUCUCGGUGUAGAGGUGAAAUUCGUAGAUAUCGAGAGGAACACCGGUGGCGAAGGCGGCUACCUGGACAGUGACUGACGCUGAGACGCGAAAGCGUGGGGAGCAAACAGG
RNAcentral lists this ribosomal RNA (253 nucleotides) under uncultured bacterium. RNAcentral's name for it is "partial 16S ribosomal RNA". It matches the Rfam family "Bacterial small subunit ribosomal RNA", at positions 524 to 776 of the family's 1533-position model. The record is from RNAcentral.